Molecule: non-coding RNA, 958 nt
Organism: Callithrix jacchus (white-tufted-ear marmoset)
Lineage: Eukaryota; Metazoa; Chordata; Mammalia; Primates; Cebidae
Source: RefSeq, a predicted model, not a curated record
CUGGGACAACAGGCAUGCACCACCAUGGCCAGCUAAUUUUUUUGUGUUUUUAGUAGAGACGGGUUUUCAUCAUGUUAGCCAGGCUGGUCUCCAACUCCUGACCUUCUGAUCCACCUGCCAUGGCCUCCCAAAGUGCUGGGAUUGCAGGUGUGAGCCACUGCGCCCUGCCCCCGAGUUUCUUGUAGAGUGAUCUUACUACCCUCUGUUUUACAGAUGAGGAAACAGAGACUCAGAGAGAUCCCAGGAAGCCAGUGGCAUAUGAAAGCACACCACCCAUCAGACAGAAACUCCGGAUGGCUGUGAGUCCAGAUGGGGGGUGCUUCCAGGGGUCCUGGGAUGAGGACAUCUGUGUUCGGGCGCUAAGAGCUGGGCAGUGACUAACAUCCCUCUGUGGUCCUGGCACCUGGUAAGUAUUCAGAGAAUGUCCACUGAGUUGAACUGAACUAGAUCGACAAACCAGGGCAGCCAAGGAGAAGAAAUCUGUAUUCUACUGGAGCCGUGGUGACCUGAGAGCAGACCGACCACCGCGCAAAGGCAGCCGUUUCAGCAGCUCCCACUCAGAGCAAGCCAUGUGCUGCGCUGGACUCUGCCUCCAGCUUGCCCAUGCCCCUAACCCCAAGUGGCCUCUGCUUACAGCAAUCCAGGAGGCUGUGGGAAAGGUGUCCCAUGAGUCUCUGGACCCUCCUAUCUCUCCCCACCUGCCCCCUUUACAAGCCAAUCCAUUCAACUGCUCCUGUGACCAGCACUCAGUGGCCAUCUCUUAAACCCUUGCUGGGAGACUGGCUGAGAAAGGGUGGCUGGGAGAGCCAGGGGCGCAGGCCAGUGAAGGGAGGAGGAGAGCUUCCGAGCAGGCUGGCGGUCAGGAAUAACUUCCAUUCAUCCCCUCAUCUCCUUUUGUCUCCCUCAGCUAAAAAAGAUAUAAACCCCUAUUGAACCCAAAGAAUCGAAGCUGAUCUGA